This is a long non-coding RNA of Cyprinus carpio carpio, 1609 nucleotides long. The record is from Ensembl. NCBI's taxonomy places the organism in Eukaryota, Metazoa, Chordata, Actinopteri, Cypriniformes, Cyprinidae.
UAUCUGUCAUAGUUGUUUUUAUCACACAAGUGGUGCCAAUGAUAGUGGUUUCUGCAAUAGUGGUGCCAAGUGGCAGUUUGAGACAUUGCGCCCGGAGUAGUAGUUUCUGCAGGAGUUAAGCCAAGGGUAGUAGUUUCUGCAGGAGUAGUGCCAAGGGUAGUAGUUUCUACAGAAGUAGUUUCUAGAGGGUAGUGUGUGUACAAGUGGUGGUACAUUCUAAGGAAUCGGUAUCUGUCAUAGUUUUUUUCACACAAGUGGUGCCAAUGAUAGUGGUUUCUGCAAUAGUGGUGCCAAGUGGCAGUUUGAGACAUUGCGCCCGGAGUAGUAGUUUCUGCAGGAGUUAAGCCAAGGGUAGUAGUUUCUGCAGGAGUAGUGCCAAGGGUAGUAGUUUCUACAGAAGUAGUUUCUAGAGGGUAGUGUGUGUACAAGUGGUGGUACAUUCUAAGGAAUCGGUAUCUGUCAUAGUUUUUUUCACACAAGUGGUGCCAAUGAUAGUGGUUUCUGCAAUAGUGGUGCCAAGUGGCAGUUUGAGACAUUGCACCUGGAGUAGUAGUUUCUGCAGGAGUUAUGCCAAGGGUAGUAGUUUCUGCAGGAUGUGUGUACAAGUGGUGGUACAUUCUAAGAAAUCGGUAUCUGUCAUAGUUUUUUUCACACAAGUGGUGCCAAUGAUAAUGGUUUCUGCAGUGGUGGUGCCAAGUGGCAGUUUGAGACAUUGUGCCCGGAGUAGUAGUUUCUGCAGGAGUUGUGCCAAGGGUAGUAGUUUCUGCAGGAGUUGUGCCAAGGGUAGUAGUUUCUACAGAAGUAGUUUCUAGAGGGUAGUGUGUGUACAAGUGGUAGUACAUUCUAAGGAAUCGGUAUCUAUCAUAGUUUUUUUCACACAAGUGGUGCCAAUGAUAGUGGUUUCUGCAGUGGUGGUGCCAAGUGGCAGUUUGAGAUGUGAUGCCCGGUGUAUUAGUUUCUGCAGGAGUUGUGCCAAGGGUAGUAGUUUCUGCAGGAGUUGUGCCAAGGGUAGUAGUUUCUACAGAAGUAGUUUCUGCAGGGUAGUGUGUGUACAAGUGGUGGUACAUUCUAAGGAAUCGGUAUCGGUCAUAGUUGUUCUUUUCACACAAGUGGUGCCAAUGAUAGUGGUUUCUGCAAUAGUGGUGCCAAGUGGCAGUUUGAGAUGUUGUCCUAUUAACAGCAGAUGUUAUGCCAGGUGUAGUUAUUCCUGUUGAACUAACUGGGGUUGUAGUUUUUGCAGAAGUUGAGUCAAGAGUAGUAGUUUCUUCAGAAGUGCUGCCAAUGGUAGUAGUUUCUACAGAAGUGGUUUCCAGGGUAGUACUUUCUGCAAAAGUGGUUUCAAGGGUACUAGUUUCUACAGAAGUGGUGCCAAGGAUACUAGAUUCUGAAUAAGUGGGUCCUGCAGAAGUGGUUUCCAAGAGAGUAAACUCAACAGAAGUGGUACCAAGGACAGUAGUUUCUGUAGAAGUGGGUCCUGCAGAAGUGGUUGCUAGGGUAGUAGUUUCUACGGAAGCUGUGGCCAGGGUUGUAAUUUCGGCAGAAAUUGUGCCAAAGGCAGUAGUUUCUGCAGGAGUGGUGCCCAGAGUUGUAGAUUUUACAGAAGUGGUGC